Molecule: microRNA precursor, 89 nt
Filed under: Pelobates cultripes (western spadefoot toad)
Lineage: Eukaryota; Metazoa; Chordata; Amphibia; Anura; Pelobatidae
Source: RNAcentral
CCCCAGAUGUUGCUGAGCUACAACUCCCAUGAUUCUUUGAAUUGCAUAGCCAGAGAAUCAUGGGAGUUGUAGUUCAGCAACAUCUGGGG